ACAAUAGGCCGUCAGUGGGACAUCAUAGAGGGUGACAAUCCCGUCCUUGACGCUAAUGUGCAAGUCUAUUACGAUGGCUAUCUCAGAGAGUCGAGCAGUUUGGGAUUUGCUGCUUAAACAUGGGAGGUAGAUUCCUUCUAAAGCUAAAUACAGGCGAGAGACCGAUAGAGAACAAGUACCGCAAGGGAAAGAUGAAAUAGCACUCUGUGAAGGGAGUCAAAAGGCGUGAAAUUGUUGCGAGAGAAGCGAUUCAAGUCAGCGUAGCUAGGCCCAUCAAGCGUCUUCGCUUUGGACUAGCUUUGCCAGCGGUCUUGUCCCUURAAGAGACUUGACUUGUAAUAUGUCCAGCCUGGCGUGCACAGGCAGCCCCUUCUGGGGGCCAGUGGCAUGGCUGGUGGAAUGGCUUGCAAUCGACCCGUCUUGAAACACGGACCAAGGAGUCUAACAUGUAUGCGAGUAUAAGGGUGGCAAACCCGUAUGCGCAAUGAAAGUGAUUUUCGGUGAUUGAGAAUGGCCUGAUGACCAGACAAGCAAUACAUGUCCCUCGUACGGCCAUUGCCCAAGUUCCGUGGUAGAUCCCACGAACAUGGAGUUGGAGCAUACAUGCUAGGACCCGAAAGAUGGUGAACUAUGCCUGGACAAAGCGAAGCCAAAGGAAACUCUGGUGGAGGCUUGUAGCGAUUCUGACGUGCAAAUCGAUCGUCUGAUCUGGGUAUA
Molecule: ribosomal RNA, 717 nt
Filed under: Cantharellus cibarius (golden chanterelle)
Lineage: Eukaryota; Fungi; Basidiomycota; Agaricomycetes; Cantharellales; Hydnaceae
Description: eukaryotic LSU rRNA
Rfam family: Eukaryotic large subunit ribosomal RNA
Source: RNAcentral